This 497-nucleotide ribosomal RNA is filed under the name uncultured bacterium. Its description in RNAcentral is "partial 16S ribosomal RNA". It matches the Rfam family "Bacterial small subunit ribosomal RNA", at positions 28 to 507 of the family's 1533-position model. The record is from RNAcentral.
GAUGAACGCUGGCGGCGUGCCUAAUACAUGCAAGUCGAGCGAACAGACGAGGAGCUUGCUCCUCUGACGUUAGCGGCGGACGGGUGAGUAACACGUGGAUAACCUACCUAUAAGACUGGGAUAACUUCGGGAAACCGGAGCUAAUACCGGAUAAUAUAUUGAACCGCAUGGUUCAAUAGUGAAAGACGGUUUUGCUGUCACUUAUAGAUGGAUCCGCGCCGCAUUAGCUAGUUGGUAAGGUAACGGCUUACCAAGGCAACGAUGCGUAGCCGACCUGAGAGGGUGAUCGGCCACACUGGAACUGAGAAACGGUCCAGACUCCUACGGGAGGCAGCAGUAGGGAAUCUUCCGCAAUGGGCGAAAGCCUUACGGAGCAACGCCGCGUGAGUGAUGAAGGUCUUCGGAUCGUAAAACUCUGUUAUUAGGGAAGAACAAAUGUGUAAGUAACUAUGCACGUCUUGACGGUACCUAAUCAGAAAGCCACGGCUAACUACGUG